UGGGCCAUGGCCUGGUGCAGUAGCCGGGCGACGUUGCCGGUGUCGUAGCCCUGGGCCGGGCGAUCGGAGUCACCCAGGCCCGGC
RNAcentral lists this transfer RNA (84 nucleotides) under compost metagenome. RNAcentral describes it as "tRNA-Gly". The record is from RNAcentral.